UACAGAGGUCCCAAGCGUUGUUCGGAUUCACUGGGCGUAAAGGGUGCGUAGGCGGUCGGGUAAGUCUGAUGUGAAAGCUCGGAGCUUAACUCCGAAAUGGCGUCGGAUACUAUUCGGCUCGAGGAGUGGAGGGGAGACUGGAAUGCUCGGUGUAGCAGUGAAAUGCGUAGAUAUCGAGCGGAACACCAGUGGCGAAGGCGAGUCUCUGGACACUUCCUGACGCUGAUGCACGAAAGCCAGGGGAG
RNAcentral lists this ribosomal RNA (245 nucleotides) under uncultured bacterium. RNAcentral describes it as "partial 16S ribosomal RNA". It matches the Rfam family "Bacterial small subunit ribosomal RNA", at positions 524 to 768 of the family's 1533-position model. The record is from RNAcentral.